UUUUUUUGUUCUGCAUAAUGUAGAAACCCUGACCACAGGAUCCAAGUGCUCUGCUUCAGCUGAAGACGACGUAUCCAGAAUGGGGCUCACGUCUACAAGUAGGCGUGCAGCCAAGAGCAAGGCUCUGCCUCCCCCGCUCCCAGCACGCUAAAGGAACGCUUUUUUUAGAGAGCCACCUGCUAAGGAUGCUUCCCUGUUCUUUGAGAGUGCAGCAAGCUGCAGGCACAGGGGUUCAGUGCAGGGGUUUCAGAAAGGACACCAGCUUUACUGAGCACUGGGCGGACAAAGCUGCUAUUCUGCACCACUGAUCCCCACCACAUUCCAUAUGAGACUCUAAUCUGAUCAGCCCCAUUACCGAGUCUCAAACUGCACUGCAAAUCAGGAUUACAAACCAGAAAGUCCAGAUGGAAAGUAGCUUCCUACCCUGAGGAAUAAAACAUGCUGUUGUGGGCCUGUACUGUGAGGAACAUAUAGCAUUAGUCCUAGAUACGCUGUUGGGAUUAACGUCCUUUAAAAAGAAACUGCUCCUUGAAAUUCAUUCUCCUUGCCGCUUGACAGAUCUUUCUGGGGCCCUCAGUGAGUUUUCUUUUGGAAAUCUAGUACUGUCUGACAGACGGUGAAAUCAUUUUAAUUUGUUUGAUGGACAGCGUAAGGACAACUUUCAAGAAAAAUAAUUUGGUAAAGUGAAAUCAGAAUUAAGUACAGACAACGCAAUGUCCUACAGCAGGCAGCUAUACCGCAGUCACUCCUCACUACAUCUAUCCUGGCUCACCCUUACUAUGCUCUCUGGUCAUAGAUGCAGCUCUUUCUACUAUCCACAAACCCAGUCUGCGUGAAAUAUAAAUAUUUAGUUUUACAGGCAAGAAUCUACCCAGCAUCAACAGCAAGAGCCUGCAAUCCAGAAAGCCUGACAUAUACUUUGGGGCGGGGGGGGCGGGAAACGCACAACACCCACACACAAGACACCUGCUUGGGCUAUAUCUAAAUAGCGUUUUGUCUGUUGAACACUUAGAAUGUAAACUUUGUCAGUAACUGCACUUCAGGGAUCUUAGUAUCUUAGUAAAGUAUAUAUAGCAAGAUCUUAUUUGCCUUCUUUAAACAGGAAAAGGAGACAUAUAGGUCAUUUAAGGGUCAUUUUUGUCCAGUGCAUUGUUUUGUACUCAGGAUAAACGGAGAAAGGUUUUCAAGUUAUGUCAUGCAGCAGGGGUUAGAGUUCUCCAGAUGACAGAACUGGAGUUUAGAUGAAGCUCUCCCUUUUGGGACUGUAAUGCAGGAUUUAAAUCUAGGUCUUCUUUAAAUUCAAUUGAACUUUGAUUACCAACGGAGCAGAAGUUAUGAACUUGCAGCAAAACAUUUGUGCGUUUCACUCUAGGUAAGCAAGUCUAUUCAUUUUCAUAGCACAUUCGGUUAAUCUAUUAACUAACCUUUAUUUCUGUCAAGCCUUGGGAACAUGGCUUUCAACAUAGCGGUACAUACAACUGGCUUUCACUUAUAACUAGUCUGCUUAAUACUGACCAGAGCAAUAAAGAGAAAGGAUUUCAUUUGUAAAAACGCUCG
RNAcentral lists this long non-coding RNA (1557 nucleotides) under Struthio camelus australis. RNAcentral describes it as "lncRNA (ENSSCUG00000001745.1)". Lineage: Eukaryota; Metazoa; Chordata; Aves; Struthioniformes; Struthionidae. The record is from RNAcentral.